GCGGGCUCUGAUCUUCUCCCUUUCAUGAGCGGCUCAGAGAGAGCGGAGCGGAAAGGAAUUCCAGACCUUUGGCUCCGCGGUUCCGCAGCCCCGUCCCCAUCCCCGGCCGCGGGGCUCCGGGGAUGCGCGGCGCCUGAAAAUCCAGAUCGUACCCAAAAUCUGCUCCGAUUCCUGCCGCUCCCCGAGCUGCAGGAAAGCUUUUUCACCUCCCUUUUCUUUCCCUGCCCCGGGCAGGAAAGCUGCUCAGUUCAGGGACCUGAGUUCUCCGGGAACAAGCGCCCAUCUCCUAGAAAAUGGAUGUUUCGGGGGUUUGGCUGCAGCUCGCUCUGUUCCAGGCGGUUUCGGCUGCCCCGAGAGCUCGGUGUUCGCACCAAGGUGGAUUUUAGGAGGAGCGGGGAGAUGAGAGAUCUGCUGUGCUCGGGCAGGGAUGGAAUUCCCUGAGUUCUCGCUGCUGGAGCCCUUGGAUUUCUGGCUUCUCGGGCAAAAGGACUGAGAACCCCUUCAGAGAGCAGCUGCUCGGGCACACGGAACCUUCUCUCUUUGUAUUAGAAAGAACAGAAAAACCAAGCGGUUGAGACGAAUUUGGGUCCCCAGGCUGCCCUCAGAACUCGGCUGAGUCCGAGAUAAAAGCGCAUCCUCCGUGCUCCCAGCGCCCACAUCCCUCUGCCUGCCUCUGCUAAGGAAUAGCCCAGAAAAAUAACGGCAUUUGCAAUUAUUUUUUUGGUUUUUUUCCUAGUAGGAAUAGCAGAGAGCAGUGUUUUGGGCUGGCUCCAGGAGCGCUGGGUGCUGUUCCCCGUCCCCACUGCUCUCUUGCUUUGUUAGGCACCGUAAUUCCAUGUGAUUUUAUUUUUUUUUUUGUGGCAGGAGUGAGACGGUGCCCGGCCUGGCAGCUCCAGCACCAGCGGGAGCAGCGCUCUGUGCAGGGCCCCCUACGAGCCUGCGGUUGUUUUCAGCUGGUGAGGAUGCAAACAAACCGAAAAACCUCCUGGCACUCCUUCCGCAGAGUUAAAUAAAUAAAUUCGCUGCACACUCAAACGCAAUAGACACGCACAAAUACAGUUCACACGUGGGAUAGAUACGAAUUAUCUCCGGCCACCGAGCCCUCUGAUGCCCAGGGAGUGCAGUCAGCUACUCAAGGAGCAUCAGUGCAAAACCCCCACAAAUGUUAUAAUUAUUAGAGCCAGUAAUUACAAGGGCAGCGAGAGGACGAGGGGGAGAGGUCUCAAAGCGACAAGGGGCAGG
Hirundo rustica (Barn swallow) is the source of this 1242-nucleotide long non-coding RNA. RefSeq lists it as uncharacterized. The transcript has 3 exons. The record is from RefSeq and is a predicted model, not a curated record. Lineage: Eukaryota; Metazoa; Chordata; Aves; Passeriformes; Hirundinidae.